UUGAAACAGGGAGAUAUAUGUCUCAUCUUCUACCCACAUAUGUAAAUCAAAAGAGUAGAGCUUGAGAGGGAAGAGGAGAUAUAUAUAGAGAGAGAGCGUGAAGGACAGGGGUGAUGACCGUAGGUUCACCACCGUCACCAUCACCGUCAAUCCACCUUUGCGGUCACAACUACACUACCGGAUCAUCUCAGAGAGUCACCACGUCACUUUUGCCUCAAGGUUUGUAAGUACUUUGUUGGUGUUGCUGUUUUGUUCAGGAUUUAAGUAGCCAGAACUAUUGGCCCAACAACUAACGUAGAGCAGGAAGGAUGAAUCAGUUGGAGACCAUUUUUUUGGGUAAGCUGCUUAUGCUGAUGUAACAAUAGCUAGCAACGUGAAGCCAUGAAAAAAGAAGCUGCAACUCAAGAAACAUGAAGUUAGGAAAUUACCACAUGACGUGUUAGUCACUUAACUUGUGCAACACAGUUAGCUACAUGAACGCACCUUUCGUAAAAGUUAUGUACGUAGCAUCGUCGUUGUAAAACAUACUAAACUUCUUCAUGUAAAUAAAUAAUGGUUUCUGGUAUGAAAUCAUUUAGUCAUAGCCGCAACGCGGCGGGGUCUUCACCUAGUUUUAAUUAUUUUAUAUUGUCCAUCCAACUAUUAAAUAAGUUUCAUAUAUCAUCAAGUACAAAAUGGAAUAUGGAUUCAGUAGAAUUAUGUACACACCAAACUCUU
RNAcentral lists this long non-coding RNA (717 nucleotides) under Helianthus annuus (common sunflower). RNAcentral's name for it is "sRNA HanXRQr2_Chr03g0090471". The record is from RNAcentral. Lineage: Eukaryota; Viridiplantae; Streptophyta; Magnoliopsida; Asterales; Asteraceae.